This 2021-nucleotide long non-coding RNA is filed under the name Triticum aestivum (bread wheat). Its description in RNAcentral is "long non-coding RNA (TAES_LNC010639)". Lineage: Eukaryota; Viridiplantae; Streptophyta; Magnoliopsida; Poales; Poaceae. The record is from RNAcentral.
UUUUUUUGCUGCAUUCAUGUGAUCAUCAGACACAUGUUAUUUCAACAACUUAAAAGUGAUUGUGAUUCGCUACACCUUCAUGGGACAACUAGAUUUUAUUUAUUUUUGCAGCUAUUCAUACACAGUGAUUCCAACUAGCCAUUUUCAUUGUUGUAACCUGUCAGAAUAACCAGCCAAUACAAAAAUCAGCUGCAUUUUCAUUGUUGUAACCCACAAGAACCAUUCGUCCAGCUCCUACAACAUCAUAAAUUUUGCUGCCAUCAUGUAACCACAGCCCCACACAGACCGCAGGCCACCGCCGCCACAAGAACAAUCACCAGCCACAUGCCAAAAAAAAUGUAAAUUCUCUAGUCAUCACCACACGCCACACAAUGUUAAUCAGGCAUGAAAUACCUUUUAAUCCACCCCGGCGCUUACUGAUCUGGCUUGACCGCGGACUCCCCGGACUCCGUAGGACCGCUGUCUGUACUGUUCUCACCCCCAGGGUUGCCGCAACUGUCGUGAGCAACCACCGACGAAUCUCGCAGUGCAGCGCCCCCAGCCCUCGAUCUCACCCACCUCGUCCUGAACAGAGCCGUGCGACGACGACCACAAAUUCAAGAUCGACAAGCUGCACACGAAAGCAACCAAUGAAAAGCACUGUUAGCCUCACGAGCGGAUUGAAUGUGGCGCCCAAUUCUGGUUUGACAACUUCGUCCCCGCUCGUUCUGCAAAACCACGUAUCGGCUUUUCUAGGGCACCCAUUCUACCAGGGCAAGGCAUCCACUCUAUUGGAUUUGCUCCCACUCGAACCAUACAACCCAAUCAAACCCACCACCACAGCCCCCCAACGCACACCGCCCGAACCAAAAAAUAGAGAGUCAAAUUUACAUUUAAAAGAAUAACCACUACACAAUUUCUAUCGUUUUCAAUUUUUUCUUUCGUCCGGAUGCUCUGUACUAAACCUUUAGAAUUUAAUUACUUAUUCUGUCGCAAACACAUCCAGAUCAAGCUUUAUCUCUGUACUAUAAUUUCCCCCAUCAUAAUCACAAGAAAAAAUUGAACGCACCUUUCUUUUCUUUUCACAUGAGUGGCACAUGAAUUAGAACAACUCGAAUUGGCACGGCCAAACAGGAAACACAAGCUCUGCUUUUCUUACCCAAUUCUUUUUGUGUGUCCAGCACAGAGAUGCCCCCCUGAUGGCUAUUUUUUUCUAGUUUGUAUCCACACAUUCAGUCCACAUACUCAGACCUGGUUUUCAUGCAUCCAUCAACAGGGAGAUCAAGCAAUCUAUGACAUGCAUCCCUAAAAUUUUAAUCACCCACCCCCUAACCACAUGAACAUACUUGAAAGCAGGCAGCAUCACUGGCACCAACCAGAGGAACAACUACUGGGCCUCACCAUCCCAAAAUAAUAGUGCACUCAACACACGCGUGCACACACAUGCUAAUCAGGGAGGGGAUACCUUCUAAUCCAGCCCAGCCCCUUGGGAUCGUGCUUCACCGCCGACUUGCCGCCUCGCCAGACUCGGCAGGAGCGCCGUCUCUGCUCCCCUCGCCACCAGGUUUGCCACAACUGUCGUGAGCAGCCAUCGACGAAUCUCUCAGCCCGUCGGUUGCCCAGCCUUCGAUCUUGCUCCCCUCAUCAUGAAAGGAGGCGCGGGGCUAGGCCCCCGGCUCGAAGAUCGGCAAGCUACAGAGGAAACCAGAGCUUUUUUUGUUUAUUUACGUGACAGAUCUCCUCAUUGGCGAGGGGCGGAGGGGGGACAGGGGAGUAUGUGUGAAACGAACCUGCGCACUGGAUCCAGGGGGAAAUCUCCGGCGGCUCCCAUGGCGGCCGCUGCUGCCGCCUAACCCAUUGCCUCGCUCUCCAUCGCCUCUCCUGAUCCAUACCCUGCCCCACACCUCCUUUCUCUUUUGUGAUUUUUACCUCUUUUCUUUUGUCGGCAGCAAAGCCCCAAGACACGCGAGCGCCCUGCCCAGAGGCUCUCCUCGUACGCAAAAAAAUCCUGGACCAUGGUCCAGCUUUUGUAACAAUCCUAG